AUACGGAGGAUCCGAGCGUUAUCCGGAUUUAUUGGGUUUAAAGGGUGCGCAGGCGGGAGAUUAAGUCGGCGGUGAAAUUUUGCAGCUCAACUGUAAAAGUGCCUUCGAAACUGGUUUCCUUGAGUGUAGAUGAAGGAGGCGGAAUUUGUGGUGUAGCGGUGAAAUGCAUAGAUAUCACGAGGAACUCCGAUUGCGCAGGCAGCUUACUAAACUACUACUGACGCUCAGGCACGAAGGCGUGGGGAUCAAACAGGAUUAGAUUCCCUGGUAGUCCACGCAGUAAACGAUGAUUACUAGCUGUUUGCGAUACAAUGUAAGCGGCUGAGCGAAAGCGUUAAGUAAUCCACCUGGGGGGUACGUUCGCAAGAAUGAAACUCAAAGGAAUUGACGGGG
This 393-nucleotide ribosomal RNA is filed under the name uncultured bacterium. Its description in RNAcentral is "partial 16S ribosomal RNA". It matches the Rfam family "Bacterial small subunit ribosomal RNA", at positions 523 to 918 of the family's 1533-position model. The record is from RNAcentral.